Molecule: ribosomal RNA, 1283 nt
Filed under: uncultured bacterium
Lineage: Bacteria
Description: bacterial SSU rRNA
Rfam family: Bacterial small subunit ribosomal RNA
Source: RNAcentral
ACAGUGGCGGACGGGUGAGUAACGCGUGAGGAACCUGCCUUUCAGAGGGGGACAACAGUUGGAAACGACUGCUAAUACCGCAUGACACAUAGAGAUCGCAUGGUUUUUAUGUCAAAGAUUUAUCGCUGAAAGAUGGCCUCGCGUCUGAUUAGCUAGUCGGUGAGGUAACGGCCUACCAAGCCGACGAUCAGUAGCCGACCUGAGAGGGUGACCGGCCACAUUGGGACUGAGACACGGCCCAAACUCCUACGGGAGGCAGCAGUGGGGAAUAUUGCACAAUGGGGGAAACCCUGAUGCAGCGACGCCGCGUGAGCGAUGAAGUAUUUCGGUAUGUAAAGCUCUAUCAGCAGGGAAGAAAAUGACGGUACCUGACUAAGAAGCACCGGCUAAAUACGUGCCAGCAGCCGCGGUAAUACGUAUGGUGCAAGCGUUAUCCGGAUUUACUGGGUGUAAAGGGAGCGUAGACGGAGUGGCAAGUCUGAUGUGAAAACCCGGGGCUCAACCCCGGGACUGCAUUGGAAACUGUCAAUCUGGAGUACCGGAGAGGUAAGCGGAAUUCCUAGUGUAGCGGUGAAAUGCGUAGAUAUUAGGAGGAACACCAGUGGCGAAGGCGGCUUACUGGGCUUUAACUGACGCUGAGGCUCGAAAGCGUGGGGAGCAAACAGGAUUAGAUACCCUGGUAGUCCACGCCGUAAACGAUGAUUACUAGGUGUGGGGGGACUGACCCCUUCCGUGCCGCAGCAAACGCAAUAAGUAAUCCACCUGGGGAGUACGACCGCAAGGUUGAAACUCAAAGGAAUUGACGGGGGCCCGCACAAGCAGUGGAGUAUGUGGAUUAAUUCGAAGCAACGCGAAGAACCUUACCAGGUCUUGACAUCGUAUGCAUAGCUCAGAGAUGAGUGAAAUCUCUUCGGAGACAUAUAGACAGGUGGUGCAUGGUUGUCGUCAGCUCGUGUCGUGAGAUGUUGGGUUAAGUCCCGCAACGAGCGCAACCCUUACUGUUAGUUGCUACGCAAGAGCACUCUAGCAGGACUGCCGUUGACAAAACGGAGGAAGGUGGGGAUGACGUCAAAUCAUCAUGCCCCUUAUGACCUGGGCCUCACACGUACUACAAUGGCUGUUAACAGAGGGAUGCAAAGCCGCGAGGUGGAGCGAACCCCUAAAAGCAGUCUUAGUUCGGAUUGUAGGCUGCAACCCGCCUACAUGAAGUCGGAAUUGCUAGUAAUCGCAGAUCAGCAUGCUGCGGUGAAUACGUUCCCGGGCCUUGCACACACCGCCCGUCA